RNAcentral lists this ribosomal RNA (462 nucleotides) under uncultured bacterium. Its description in RNAcentral is "partial 16S ribosomal RNA". It matches the Rfam family "Bacterial small subunit ribosomal RNA", at positions 29 to 507 of the family's 1533-position model. The record is from RNAcentral.
AUGAACGCUGACAGAAUGCUUAACACCUGCAAGUCGAUGGGGAAGUGGUGCUUGCACCAUGGCAACCAUGGCGGACGGGUGAGUAACGCGUAAGGGACUUACCUGCAGGACUGGGAUAACAGGGGGAAACUCCUGACAAGACCGGAUAAUGUCAUGGAGCUGCAUGGCUUUAUGAUGAAAGGAGACGCCUGCGGAGAGCCUUGCGUCCUAUUAGCUAGUUGGUGAGGUAAUGGCUCACCAAGGCGAAGAUAGGUAGCCGGCCUGAGAGGGUGGACGGCCACAAGGGGACUGAGAUACGGCCCUUACUCCUACGGGAGGCAGCAGUGGGGAAUAUUGGACAAUGGGGGCAACCCUGAUCCAGCAAUUCUGUGUGCACGAAGAAGGUUUUCGGAUUGUAAAGUGCUUUCAGCAGGGAAGAAGUAAGUGACGGUACCUGCAGAAGAAGCGACGGCUAAAUACGUG